This 397-nucleotide ribosomal RNA is filed under the name uncultured bacterium. Its description in RNAcentral is "partial 16S ribosomal RNA". It matches the Rfam family "Bacterial small subunit ribosomal RNA", at positions 523 to 918 of the family's 1533-position model. The record is from RNAcentral.
AUACGUAGGUGGCAAGCGUUGUCCGGAAUUAUUGGGCGUAAAGCGCGCGCAGGUGGUUCCUUAAGUCUGAUGUGAAAGCCCCCGGCUCAACCGGGGAGGGUCAUUGGAAACUGGGGAACUUGAGUGCAGAAGCGGAUAGUGGAAUUCCAAGUGUAGCGGUGAAAUGCGUAGAGAUUUGGAGGAACACCAGUGGCGAAGGCGACUGUCGGGUCGGUAACGGACACUGAGGCGCGAAAGCGUGGGGAGCAAACAGGAUUAGUUGCCCUGGUAGUCCACGCCGUAAACGAUGAGUGCUAAGUGUUGGGGGGUUUCCGCCCCUCAGUGCUGCAGCUAACGCAUUAAGCACUCCGCCUGGGGAGUACGGUCGCAAGACUGAAACUCAAAGGAAUUGACGGGG